AGGUCAGAGGGCCGCACACCGGCUGAGCCGUACUCCAUUCCUAAACCGUGUGUCGCAGGUUCGAUUCCUGCCGGGG
RNAcentral lists this transfer RNA (76 nucleotides) under Micromonospora polyrhachis. Its description in RNAcentral is "tRNA-OTHER". The record is from RNAcentral. Lineage: Bacteria; Bacillati; Actinomycetota; Actinomycetes; Micromonosporales; Micromonosporaceae.